Molecule: small nucleolar RNA, 84 nt
Filed under: Drosophila grimshawi
Lineage: Eukaryota; Metazoa; Arthropoda; Insecta; Diptera; Drosophilidae
Description: snoRNA:GH25733
Source: RNAcentral
UGAUGUGAAAACCCUUUUUGAUUUUAUGUUCCUAAACGAAAAUAUGAAAUUAUAAUUUUCUAAUUCGUCACUACCUCUGAGUAA